GAUGAACGCUGGCGGCGUGCCUAAUACAUGCAAGUCGAGCGAACGGACGAGAAGCUUGCUUCUCUGAUGUUAGCGGCGGACGGGUGAGUAACACGUGGAUAACCUACCUAUAAGACUGGGAUAACUUCGGGAAACCGGAGCUAAUACCGGAUAAUAUUUUGAACCGCAUGGUUCAAAAGUGAAAGUCGGUCUUGCUGUCACUUAUAGAUGGAUCCGCGCUGCAUUAGCUAGUUGGUAAGGUAACGGCUUAUCACGGCAACGAUGCAUAGCCGACCUGAGAGGGGGAUCGGCCACACUGGAACUGAGACACGGUCCAGACUCCUACGGGAGGCAGCAGUAGGGAAUCUGCCGCAAUGGGCGAAAGCCUGACGGAGCAACGCCGCGUGAGUGAUGAAGGUCUUCGGAGCGUAAAACUCGGUUAUUAGGGAAGAACAUAUGUGUAAGUAACUGUGCACAGCUUGACGGUACCUAAUCAGAAAGCCACGGCUAACUACGUG
RNAcentral lists this ribosomal RNA (497 nucleotides) under uncultured bacterium. Its description in RNAcentral is "partial 16S ribosomal RNA". It matches the Rfam family "Bacterial small subunit ribosomal RNA", at positions 28 to 507 of the family's 1533-position model. The record is from RNAcentral.